RNAcentral lists this long non-coding RNA (342 nucleotides) under Panax ginseng (ginseng). RNAcentral describes it as "long non-coding RNA (PGIN_LNC001016)". The record is from RNAcentral. Lineage: Eukaryota; Viridiplantae; Streptophyta; Magnoliopsida; Apiales; Araliaceae.
UUUAACAAAGGUAUCGCUGAAAGAGUACGGAAUCCGUACCUGAUACUUCCAAACCAUUUAUAGCACACUCCACAAAAUCUUACCCUCAAAUGCCAACGAUAUCAAAUACAAAACGUUAUUCAUCACCUAAACAUAUUCACCUCAAAUUAAAAAUAAUCCAAACUAAUAAUUCUUAAAUAAUUAAUAAUCUAUUUAAUAUGCCUUUAAUCAUCGGUUUAUAUCAAUUAUUAAUACUCCAAAAUUUAUAUUCCAAGUAUAACUCUUUAAAUCCCCUUCGUUCGAACUAAUUACACAAAUUAACAAAAAUUAAUAAAUAUCUAUAAGUUAAAUUACUAAUUACAA